RNAcentral lists this long non-coding RNA (63 nucleotides) under Pocillopora damicornis (cauliflower coral). RNAcentral's name for it is "uncharacterized LOC113685987". Lineage: Eukaryota; Metazoa; Cnidaria; Anthozoa; Scleractinia; Pocilloporidae. The record is from RNAcentral.
AUAUUAGUCCCUAUGCAGGAACCUUUCACAUGACCUGUACAGUCAUAUACUUGGAAUCUACUU